Pan troglodytes (chimpanzee) is the source of this 1205-nucleotide long non-coding RNA. RefSeq lists it as uncharacterized. The record is from RefSeq and is a predicted model, not a curated record. NCBI's taxonomy places the organism in Eukaryota, Metazoa, Chordata, Mammalia, Primates, Hominidae. The transcript has 3 exons.
GCCAGGGGCCCCGCCCGCCAGUUGGUCGCCUCCUGCAGCACCCUGGAGGCCCAGGGCCGGCGGGGCGGCGGCUGUGGGGAUCCCGGGCGCGGCCCACACCUGGGACAAUGAGCAGGAACCCAGAGACAGGGUCUUGCUGUGUUGCUGAGCUGGUCUUGAACUCCUGGCCUCCCGCCUCAGUCUCCCAAAGUGCUGGGAUUACAGGGAAUGUGACUUCACUGGACGCAGUAUAAAGAUCUUCAGAUGUCCUCCUGCCGGGGAUUGCAGGGAUCACAGAAAGACCAUCGAGGUCCAGGAGCUACCUGCAAGCGGAGAUCCCUCUGGACGCCCCGUGCCUCACCCAGCAAAGCCGGCUCACAACCCUGCGCUCUCAAACCUCUAAAAGGGCUUGAGGUGCCAAUAGGAAAGGAGGCCUGAGAUUGCCACGGCAUACGUGGGCCCCAAGAAGGGAGCCAGGAGUCACUGCCUGCUUGGGCUAAGGGUACCGCGUACGGAAAGGCGGCGGGGACGCGGCCCAGUUCUAGGAGAUGCGCCCAACGAAGAAGCGGAGGGACAGGGUCACGGGAUAGGGCAGACACCCGGCUGCUUUUUGUUUGCUAGACACCAGCGCCAGCCCCUGCCCGGCCCUCCCGGUCUCCUAAGAGCGGGGGGGGUCUUAGGCUCCACAGCGCCCCCGACCGCCCUCCUGCACUCCUCACCGUCUCCAUUGCAAGAGGCGCCCGGCUUGGUUUCCUCGCUUUAGGAAACUCUCUUGGGGCAGGCCCCGCCCCACAUCCGGUGCGGCGACGCCACUUCCGCCCACGUCAUGGCAGUCGCCAGACUGGGGCGAAAGGCAAGGAACCCACCCUUCCGGCGGUGGCGGGCCUCGGUAACCGCCCUCCCCCGGGUCCUCACGGACCGCACGGAUCCGGCUGACGGCGAGGGUCAUGGGACGGAGGCGCUUGUAUUUAAAAUGUUCUUUUUUUAUUUGUCGUUUAAAAACAAACUUGGAAGAAGCAAAAUCCAAAACUUGCCCUUUGCCUCUCGCAACAUAAAUAUGUACAGUUCAGAAUGAUCGCUGAUACAAAACAUGCCAAGGACAGGGGCGCUGAGGGUGGAGGGAGAGAGGGCGCUUUAAAAAAGGGAACCAUUUCAUCCGUUGUUACAAAGGACCAACCUUGCUGUACAGGAUACACACAACACAAAAUAAAGUCUUCACGGGAUUC